CCUACGGGUGGCUGCAGUGGGGAAUCUUGCGCAAUGGACGAAAGUCUGACGCAGCAACGCCGCGUGAGUGAAGAAGGCCUUCGGGUUGUAAAGCUCUGUCAAGCGAGACGAAGGUGCAUACGCUAAUAUCGUAUGCAUUUGACGGUACCGCUGGAGGAAGCACCGGCUAACUCUGUGCCAGCAGCCGCGGUAAUACAGAGGGUGCAAGCGUUGCUCGGAAUCAUUGGGCGUAAAGGGCAAGUAGGUGGUCUGAUUUGUCUGGGGUGAAAGCCUUG
Molecule: ribosomal RNA, 275 nt
Filed under: uncultured bacterium
Lineage: Bacteria
Description: partial 16S ribosomal RNA
Rfam family: Bacterial small subunit ribosomal RNA
Source: RNAcentral